CUCCCCUGUAUACUACCCUGACUGUUUUCAUCCUCCAUCUUCCCUUCACGGGGAGGGUCAGAGCCGCCACCGGUGCUCCCAGGGGUCGCCGCCCAGGAUUCGCCGCCGUCUCUAGGAGGCCGCCGCCCAAGGAAUCUCUGCGGCUGCCCCCAGCAGCUGCCGCCUCCAGGAGCCGCGGGCCGCCACCCCAAGGAGCCGCGCUGCGGCCCCCAGCAGCAGCCGACCCCAGGAGCCGACGUUGCCCCCAGCAGCUGCACUCCCCCCAGGCCCCUACACGCGAGAUCCAGAGGCUCCUGGGGAGAGCGCGUCCCGGACAGAGCGCAGAGGCAACAGCAGCAUCCCCUUCGUCUAGAUCUGAGGCGGCGUGCCUUGGGGGCGUGGCCUGCACCCUUGGCAGCCAGCUCAAGGAGAAGAGUCUAGGAGAAAGAGGAGGUCUAACGGGAGUUAACGGGGCUGUGCAUAAGAUAGAUGGAGGUAGGGGCAAAACCGUCCAUCCAGGUCAAAAAAGGGUUGUAGAAUUUGUAAAUCUAUCAAAUGAGCUGAAAUGACAUUCUAGCGUGAAGAACAACAUUCAUAAGGGCAUUCCAGCGAAGCCCACAACUUUGAUGGCAUUCCAGCGAAAUCCGCUUCCCAUAAGGGCAAAAUCCCAAUUUUCUCGUCUCGAGUCGGAGGAGUCGCAUUCGGCUGCGGGGCGAGGUUGCCACUAGGGUUCGAUAAGGGUGCCGUUGCCGCCGCAGCUAGGUCGCCACUGCUCGUCUCCAAGACCCGGUGAGAGGAGGCUUUGACCCGGCGCUGCGACGGGGCGGCCGGCGCUCAUCUUUGAUUCCUAUCUUCGUCCUCCAAGUUCAACUCCAUCUUCGUCCUGAUGCUCUGAUAAGCUACCCGUGCUUAGUUGGUUCCCAAUGGCAAGCCCGUGCAAAAUUCACGUGCUCUAGAUCUGUUUCUGCUAUGCUCUUCCCUUUGUUUGUUGCUUGAAGAUGGAGAGAAGUUGAAUUCCGAGUAUCUCUUCUUGGGGUGGAUGCUCCACUCCGUUUGCUGUGUUGUGUGGAUCAUUCGAUAGCAAAA
Molecule: long non-coding RNA, 1065 nt
Organism: Panicum virgatum (switchgrass)
Lineage: Eukaryota; Viridiplantae; Streptophyta; Magnoliopsida; Poales; Poaceae
Exons: 2
Source: RefSeq, a predicted model, not a curated record